CCUACACGUUAAUUUAAUAUCUUUUUAUUUACUUUUUAAAAUUAUUUUACGUUUUUGAAUUUUCUAACUAGUUUUUGUAUAAUUAAAGAUUAUGUUCACUGUGCACGGACGCACGGUAUACAAAUUACAAUUUACAAAUCUGAACAGUUCUCUUUAGAUGUGGUUUUUAUCGACAAGAAAUUAAAACCAUUGCAAAAACCUAGUUAAACUCAUGCUAUCUACAACAAUCACAGUCUUUUCUUCAUAACUCAAAUUGUUCUGCAAGAUACAAUAACUGAUGUAGUUAUGAAUCCAGUUCGAUUAGGAGAUUAUUUUAUUAAAAAAAAACAGUUCCUACUAACAUAAUUGUUUAUUCGAGUCUGCAAAGGAGAGCUUCCAGAUAAACUAGAAUAACAGUGACUAACAUGGACUACUCAAUAGAGAUGUGUCAUUCACAAACAAUCUAGUUCAAUUGGUUGUUGUUCAGCACUGAUUCCUAGAACAUGGUGAAUAUUGAAUGUCGUAAUCAUUUGGACUUGAAAUGCUCAUAAAAAACUAAUUUGGCUUUCCGGUACAAUUUUUUUUUUUUAUAGAUUGAAAAACUAAUAAUGAAUCUUGUAUUAAAUUUUUAAAUCUUUGUAAAUAUUUAUCUACCUAAUUAUGUAUAUAUAGUUUUAUAUUUAAUAUUGUAUUUAGACUUUAAAGAAAUAAUAUUAAGAGGACGUCUCACCCGCAUGUGUUGUUACCGUCUUACACACGUACCACAUAGUAAAUUUUUGUUCACCAGUUUUAAUAGUGUGCUUUUAGUUUUAAUAUUAGAGUGAAUUGACCUAUUAUCAAACUUUUAGGUAAGAACAUUAACUGUGUUCUCUCAUUGGCUUUUUACGAUAUUUUAAUUUUUAGGUGAGUUAUGAGUAUAAAAAUAUGAAAUUAUUAAAUAUUUGAAAAUGCUCAUAAUUCACUUAAAAAAUUAAAAUAUCGUAAAAAGCCAAUGCGAGAACACAGAUAACGUUCUUACCUAAAAGUUAGGUAAUUGGUCAAUUCACUCUUAUAUUAAAACUAAAAGCAUACUAUUGAAACUGGUGAACAAAAGUUUACUAUGUCGUACGUGUGUAAGACGGAGACAACACAUACGGGUGAGACGUCCUCUUAAGGCUUUACAAUUUACAUAACACGAAUGUAUAAUUUAUUCUACAAGGAAUACUUACUAUAGACUCAUAAACAUUAGAAUUUCCAUUCUUCUAUUGUUCAUAAAAAAACCUAUAAUAUUUAAUUAAUCAUA
This is a long non-coding RNA of Rhopalosiphum padi (bird cherry-oat aphid), 1261 nucleotides long. RefSeq lists it as uncharacterized. The transcript is spliced from 5 exons. The record is from RefSeq and is a predicted model, not a curated record. NCBI's taxonomy places the organism in Eukaryota, Metazoa, Arthropoda, Insecta, Hemiptera, Aphididae.